RNAcentral lists this ribosomal RNA (501 nucleotides) under uncultured bacterium. RNAcentral's name for it is "partial 16S ribosomal RNA". It matches the Rfam family "Bacterial small subunit ribosomal RNA", at positions 30 to 523 of the family's 1533-position model. The record is from RNAcentral.
AUUGAACGCUGGCGGCAGGCUUAACGCAUGCAAGUCGAGCGGGGGAAGGUAGCUUGCUACCGGACCUAGCGGCGGACGGGUGAGUAAUGCUUAGGAAUCUGCCUAUUAGUGGGGGACAACAUCUCGAAAGGGAUGCUAAUACCGCAUACGUCCUACGGGAGAAAGCAGGGGAUCUUCGGACCUUGCGCUAAUAGAUGAGCCUAAGUCGGAUUAGCUAGUUGGUGGGGUAAAGGCCUACCAAGGCGACGAUCUGUAGCGGGUCUGAGAGGAUGGUCCGCCACGCUGGGACUGAGACACGGCCCAGACUCCUACGGGAGGCAGCAGUGGGGAAUAGUGGACANNGGGGGGAACCCUGANCCAGCCAUGCCGCGUGUGUGAAGAAGGCCUUAUGGUUGNAAAGCACUUUAAGCGAGGAGGAGGCUACUCUAGUUAAUACCUAGGNAUAGUGGACGUUACUCGCAGAAUAAGCACCGGCUAACUCUGUGCCAGCCGCCGCAGUAA